RNAcentral lists this ribosomal RNA (871 nucleotides) under Cyphellophora aestiva. Its description in RNAcentral is "LSU rRNA". It matches the Rfam family "Eukaryotic large subunit ribosomal RNA", at positions 74 to 963 of the family's 3401-position model. The record is from RNAcentral. Lineage: Eukaryota; Fungi; Ascomycota; Eurotiomycetes; Chaetothyriales; Cyphellophoraceae.
AUUGCCUUAGUAACGGCGAGUGAAGCGGCAACAGCUCAAAUUUGAAAUCUGGCCUCUUUGGGGUCCGAGUUGUAAUUUGGAGAGGAUGUUUCGGGUACGGUCCGGGCUUAUAUUUCUUGGAACAGAAUGUCAUAGAGGGUGAGAAUCCCGUCUGGAGUCCGGACACGGCCUAUGUGAAACUCCUUCGACGAGUCGAGUUGUUUGGGAAUGCAGCUCUAAAUGGGUGGUAAAUUUCAUCUAAAGCUAAAUAUUGGCCAGAGACCGAUAGCGCACAAGUAGAGUGAUCGAAAGAUGAAAAGCACUUUGAAAAGAGAGUUAAAAAGUACGUGAAAUUGUUGAAAGGGAAGCGCUGGCAACCAGACUUGCACGUCGGGGUUCCCCCUUGCUUUUGCCUGGGUUACUCCCCGGCGUUCAGGCCAACAUCGGUUUCGGGGGUUGGUUAAAGGCCUUAGGAAUGUACUUACCCUCCGGGGUAAACUUAUAGCCUAGGGUGUCAUGCGACCUCCCGGGACCGAGGAACGCGCUUCGGCUCGGAUGUUGGCGUAAUGGUUGUCAGCGACCCGUCUUGAAACACGGACCAAGGAGUCUAACAUCUAUGCGAGUGUUAGGGUGUCAAACCCUUACGCGGAAUGAAAGUGAACGGAGGUAGGAAGCCGUUAGGCUGCACUAUCGACCGAUCCUGAAGUUUACGGAUGGAUUUGAGUAAGAGCAUAGCUGUUGGGACCCGAAAGAUGGUGAACUAUGCCUGAAUAGGGUGAAGCCAGAGGAAACUCUGGUGGAGGCUCGCAGCGGUUCUGACGUGCAAAUCGAUCGUCAAAUUUGGGUAUAGGGGCGAAGACUAAUCGAACCAUCUGGUAGCUGGUUCCUGCCG